GGGCAGGGGGCGGCGUGCUAUACAUGCAAGUCGAACGAACUCUGGUAUUGAUUGGUGCUUGCAUCAUGAUUUACAUUUGAGUGAGUGGCGAACUGGUGAGUAACACGUGGGAAACCUGCCCAGAAGCGGGGGAUAACACCUGGAAACAGAUGCUAAUACCGCAUAACAACUUGGACCGCAUGGUCCGAGUUUGAAAGAUGGCUUCGGCUAUCACUUUUGGAUGGUCCCGCGGCGUAUUAGCUAGAUGGUGGGGUAACGGCUCACCAUGGCAAUGAUACGUAGCCGACCUGAGAGGGUAAUCGGCCACAUUGGGACUGAGACACGGCCCAAACUCCUACGGGAGGCAGCAGUAGGGAAUCUUCCACAAUGGACGAAAGUCUGAUGGAGCAACGCCGCGUGAGUGAAGAAGGGUUUCGGCUCGUAAAACUCUGUUGUUAAAGAAGAACAUAUUCUGAGAGUACUGUCAGGUAUUGACGGUAUUUAACCAGAAAGCACGGCUACUACGUGCCAGCAGCCGCGGUAAUACGUAGGUGGCAAGCGUGUCCGGAUUUAUUGGGCGUAAAGCGAGCGCAGGCGGUUUUUUAAGUCUGAUGUGAAAGCCUUCGGCUCAGCCGAAGAAGUGCAUCGGAAACUGGGAAACUUGAGUGCAGAAGAGGACAGUGGAACUCCAUGUGUAGCGGUGAAAUGCGUAGAUAUAUGGAAGAACACCAGUGGCGAAGGCGGCUGUCUGGUCUGUAACUGACGCUGAGGCUCGAAAGUAUGGGUAGCAAACAGGAUUAGAUACCCUGGUAGUCCAUACCGUAAACGAUGAAUGCUAAGUGUUGGAGGGUUUCCGCCCUUCAGUGCUGCAGCUAACGCAUUAAGCAUUCCGCCUGGGGAGUACGGCCGCAAGGCUGAAACUCAAAGGAAUUGACGGGGGCCCGCACAAGCGGUGGAGCAUGUGGUUUAAUUCGAAGCUACGCGAAGAACCUUACCAGGUCUUGACAUACUAUGCAAAUCUAAGAGAUUAGACGUUCCCUUCGGGGACAUGGAUACAGGUGGUGCAUGGUUGUCGUCAGCUCGUGUCGUGAGAUGUUGGGUUAAGUCCCGCAACGAGCGCAACCCUUAUUAUCAGUUGCCAGCAUUAAGUUGGGCACUCUGGUGAGACUGCCGGUGACAAACCGGAGGAAGGUGGGGAUGACGUCAAAUCAUCAUGCCCCUUAUGACCUGGGCUACACACGUGCUACAAUGGAUGGUACAACGAGUUGCGAACUCGCGAGAGUAAGCUAAUCUCUUAAAGCCAUUCUCAGUUCGGAUUGUAGGCUGCAACUCGCCUACAUGAAGUCGGAAUCGCUAGUAAUCGCGGAUCAGCAUGCCGCGGUGAAUACGUUCCCGGGCCUUGUACACACCGCCCGUCACACCAUGAGAGUUUGUAACACCCAAAGUCGGUGGGGUAACCUUUUAGGAACCAGCCGCCUAAGGUGGGACAGAUGAUUAGGGUGAAGUCGUAACAAGAGCCUAGCCA
Molecule: ribosomal RNA, 1504 nt
Filed under: Lactiplantibacillus pentosus
Lineage: Bacteria; Bacillati; Bacillota; Bacilli; Lactobacillales; Lactobacillaceae
Description: bacterial SSU rRNA
Rfam family: Bacterial small subunit ribosomal RNA
Source: RNAcentral